RNAcentral lists this ribosomal RNA (253 nucleotides) under uncultured bacterium. Its description in RNAcentral is "partial 16S ribosomal RNA". It matches the Rfam family "Bacterial small subunit ribosomal RNA", at positions 524 to 776 of the family's 1533-position model. The record is from RNAcentral.
UACGGAGGGUGCGAGCGUUGUUCGGAAUUACUGGGCGUAAAGCGCGUGCAGGCGGCCGACUAAGUCAGGUGUGAAAGCCCGGGGCUCACCUCCGGAAGUGCGCUUGAAACUGGUCGGCUAGAGUACGGGAGAGGGAAGCGGAAUUCCUGGUGUAGCGGUGAAAUACGUAGAUAUCAGGAGGAACACCGGCGGCGAAGGCGGCUUCCUGGACCGAUACUGACGCUGAGACGCGAAAGCGUGGGGAGCAAACAGG